AUUGAACGCUGGCGGCAGGCUUAACACAUGCAAGUCGAGCGGUAACAGAGAGAAGCUUGCUUCUCUGCUGACGAGCGGCGGACGGGUGAGUAAUGCCUAGGAAUCUGCCUAGUAGCGGGGGAUAACUUGCCGAAAGGUAAGCUAAUACCGCAUACGUCCUACGGGAGAAAGGAGGGGACCUUCGGUCCUGUCGCUCUUAGAUGCGCCUAGGUCGGAUUAGUUAGUUGGUGAGGUAAUGGCUCACCAAGACCGCGAUCCGUAACUGGUCUGAGAGGAUGAUCAGUCACACUGGAACUGAGACACGGUCCAGACUCCUACGGGAGGCAGCAGUGGGGAAUAUUGGACAAUGGGGGGAACCCUGAUCCAGCCAUGCCGCGUGUGUGAAGAAGGUCUUAGGAUUGUAAAGCACUUUAAGUUGGGAGGAAGAGCAGUUAACUAAUAUUUGACUGUUUUGACGUUACCGACAGAAUAAGCACCGGCUAACUUCGUGCCAGCCGCCGCAGUAA
This 506-nucleotide ribosomal RNA is filed under the name uncultured bacterium. RNAcentral's name for it is "partial 16S ribosomal RNA". It matches the Rfam family "Bacterial small subunit ribosomal RNA", at positions 30 to 523 of the family's 1533-position model. The record is from RNAcentral.